GAUGUACUCCCUCCGUCCCAUAUUAAAUGUAUCAAAUUUGUUUAAAUAUGAAUGUAUCUACACUUAAAAGACGUCUAGAUACAUGUAUUAUUUCGACAUUUAAUAUGGGACGGAGAGAGCAAGUG
This is a non-coding RNA of Brachypodium distachyon (stiff brome), 125 nucleotides long. NCBI's taxonomy places the organism in Eukaryota, Viridiplantae, Streptophyta, Magnoliopsida, Poales, Poaceae. The record is from Rfam.